AGAGUUUGAUCCUGGCUCAGGAUGAACGCUGGCGGCGUGCCUAAUACAUGCAAGUCGAGCGGCAGCGCAGGGUGCUUGCACCCUGGCGGCGAGCGGCGGACGGCUGAGUAACGCGUAGGAACCUACCCCGAAGUGAGGGAUAAGCAUCAGAAAUGGUGUCUAAUACCGCAUGUGCUCUAAGGAGUAAAGCUUUGGCGCUUUGGGAAGGGCCUGCGUCCGAUUAGCUUGUUGGUAAGGUAAUGGCUUACCAAGGCGACGAUCGGUAGCUGGUCUGAGAGGAUGAUCAGCCAGACUGGGACUGAGACACGGCCCAGACUCCUACGGGAGGCAGCAGUAGGGAAUUUUCCACAAUGGGCGAAAGCCUGAUGGAGCAACGCCGCGUGCAGGAUGAAGGCCUUCGGGUUGUAAACUGCUUUUCUUUGUGAAGAUUAUGACGGUAGCAGAGGAAUAAGGAUCGGCUAACUCCGUGCCAGCAGCCGCGGUCAUACGGAGGAUCCAAGCGUUAUCCGGAAUUACUGGGCGUAAAGAGUUGCGUAGGUGGCAUAGUAAGCAGAUAGUGAAAGCGUGUGGCUCAACCAUAUAUACAUUAUCUGAACUGCUAAGCUUGAGGACGAGAGAGGUAGAUGGAAUUCCCAGUGUAGGAGUGAAAUCCGUAGAUAUUGGGAGGAACCCGAUGGCGUAGGCAGUCUACUGGCUCGUUCCUGACACUCAGGCACGAAAGCGUGGGGAGAAACGGGAUUAGAUACCCCCGUAGUCC
RNAcentral lists this ribosomal RNA (757 nucleotides) under uncultured bacterium. RNAcentral's name for it is "bacterial SSU rRNA". It matches the Rfam family "Bacterial small subunit ribosomal RNA", at positions 8 to 796 of the family's 1533-position model. The record is from RNAcentral.